RNAcentral lists this ribosomal RNA (487 nucleotides) under uncultured bacterium. RNAcentral describes it as "bacterial SSU rRNA". It matches the Rfam family "Bacterial small subunit ribosomal RNA", at positions 28 to 507 of the family's 1533-position model. The record is from RNAcentral.
GAUGAACGCUAGCGGCAGGCUUAACACAUGCAAGUCGAGGGGCAGCGAGAGAGUAGCAAUACUUUUGUCGGCGACCGGCGCAAGGGUGCGUAACGCGUGAGCAACAUGCCCGUAACAGGCGGAUAGACCGUGGAAACGCGGCGUAAACCGCCAUAAGUUGGGAGUAGGCAUCUAUUUCAAAUGAAAUCUUCGGAGGUUACGGAUUGGCUCGCGAGACAUUAGCCAGUUGGCGGGGUAACGGCCCACCAAAGCUACGAUGUCUAGGGGUUCUGAGAGGAAGGUCCCCCACACUGGAACUGAGACACGGUCCAGACUCCUACGGGAGGCAGCAGUGAGGAAUAUUGGACAAUGGAUGGAAAUCUGAUCCAGCCAUGCCGCGUGCAGGAAGACGGUCCUAUGGAUUGUAAACUGCUUUAGCAUGGGAGCAAUAAGGUGUACGCGUACACCGAUGAGAGUACCAUGAGAAUAAGCACCGGCUAACUCCGUG